RNAcentral lists this transfer RNA (65 nucleotides) under Scolytinae sp. BMNH 1274713. RNAcentral's name for it is "tRNA-Asn". The record is from RNAcentral. Lineage: Eukaryota; Metazoa; Arthropoda; Insecta; Coleoptera; Curculionidae.
UUAAUUGAAACCAAAAUAAGAGGUAUAUCACUGUUAAUGAUACCAUUGGAAUAUCCCCAAUUAAA